GUGGAUUCUGCGAAAGUUGCGCGUCUGCUUUCAGACUUGAUGCAGACGCCACGAGUCGAAUGGUUUGUCUCCAAAGGGCAGUGCCUCCCCAUUGGUCAGUCGCCCCCUGACGUCACAGGCGCACGGCUUCCACUGGCGUGUGCGCGGCUUGCCUAGUUCUUCGCCUACCUUCCUCAAUUCCAAUCCCAGCCCGAGCUGCAGCCGGGGGCCGCGCUGUGCUGCGCCGGUGGCCGCCGGGAAGGGAGGCGCCUCUGCCCGGCUGGCCGCCGAUGCUUUCCGCUGCAGCUCGUGCCCCAAAUCCCGGAGACCCAGCUGCCAAUAUCUCAGCCUUGAAACAGCCAACUGGGGGCUGCUCUCUUUCAAUCCCCUUGCACCCUUGUAGGCUGCCUGUGCUUAGAAGCAGUGCCCCCCGCCCCGCAUUUAAAUCCAGCCCCCCCCCUUUCUUGACCUCCCUUCCACUCUGGUCCUACUACACUCCUGUGGGAGCUCCCUGUCACCGUGGAUUUUUCUAGACGUAUUUUACUGAAACCACAGAAGGAAGACGAACCCUCACACCUGGGCUCCACCCCACUGGGGGGUGGUAAAGAAAAAGAAAAAUCAGACUGUGUUCUGGCUCGGUCCCUGCCAUUUCAGGCCGUGUUUCUUAUAUAUUGUACAAAAGGUGGGGGGGGGGUGUCUUUUUUUUUCCUUCUCAGAACGCAGCAGCCUGUUCUGAAAAACGAAUCGUUGGAGGACUGACAGUAAUGCAUUUUUUCCUAUUGAAAACAGAAGCUACUGUAAUGCUUUCAAAUAUAUGCAAAUGAUACAUGCGGUUAGUGGUUUGGCAAAUCUUGAUUACAAUAUAAACUACCCAAGUAAAAGUGCCUUCGUCCUAAAUUUGUCUCUCGAUUACAAUUCCAAUUGAUUUUAUUUUAUUGUCAACAUUGUUAAUGAUAAAAAUAGAGUCGUUUUACAGUUAUUUUUACUUUCUGGAAGGAGGCAAUUAGAGUUCUAAUCAGGAAUACACAAAAAUCUCCCAUGAUUAACUGCAGUACUUUGUUCAAAUUGCUGCUAUAAAAUUCAGAACAAUUUGCCUGUAAUGAUUAUGGACUGGGUUUAUUUUGGGAGGUGGAAUAAAAGUGGAUAUAGCAUAAAUUAUCCUCUAAUUAUACACCAGUGUCGCCUCAAUUAUCCUCUUAUCAAAAUGGUUGUCUAACUGCCGCAUUUAGUUUCAAUUCUCUCCUUUUUUUCUAUAAAAAGAACUUCAUACCUUGUUAUUAUUAAUCCAUUUAUUAUUUGCAAGGGGAUUUAUAUCCGCACAUCCAGGUGGUAGAACCACUUCUCUUUCAAAGAUGGACUGGGGAAAGACAUUAAGUUCGGAGCAGCCCAAGGCUGCGGAUCUAGCCUUUCUCCCUCCGGCCUCCAGACCCACGCAGGUCCAGGCAGCCAAGCAGAGACAGCGGAGCCCCGGUGCGCGGUUCAGGCCUGGUCAACAGGUAGGAGGGCCGGACUGGGGGCCAAGCACAGAGGAGGGCAGGCCCGCCUGCGCCAGCGUCCAGGGUCCCGGGUCCCGGGACUGGAGGAGGUCGCCGGGAGCCCGCGCUUCCAGAGGAUUGAGAUUGGGUGAACGAGACCUGAAGACCCUCUCGGUCUGGACCCCGACUUUCGGUCUGCUUAGAGACCUAAGCCGCGAGCCUUUGGCCACACGGAGAAACGUACUAACAACCCUGUACUGCCGUGUCUGGAGGUUGCGGGAACGAGACUGUGUCUCCCUUUGGGAAAAGUACUGGGGACUUCUUUAUAUCCUACUUCUCCUGGACUCCAUAAGUUACAGGACCGAAGAAAACUGAGAAAUAGAGAGAAGGUGCCGCUUGCCCCUUCACUCCAGAAAAGGGUGGCUGCAGACGGAGCAGCUUGGACUUUAUUUUUACAUUGUGGAAGCCCGCCGGCAGCGGCUUAUGCUAAUUGAUUUUCCCAGUUCCCAGCCCUGGGUGUCUAGCUAUCUCCAGGCCAGUUUGCAUUUUUCUUUUUCUUUCUUUCUUUCUUUUCUUCAAUGUAUCAGAAGACCUGAAGCUCGCGGCCCGCUGCCCGCUGCCCGCUGCCCGCUGCCCGCGAGUUUCCUCCGAGUUUCCAGGUCAGCGGCAUUUGCGCUCCUCUCCCCCUCCUUUUCCCAGCCCGCUGCGCUUAAGUUCUUGAGUCUGGGGAGCCGGUUCAGUAACUCUGAAUUCAUUUUUAAGUGGCGUGCCUUGUUCCCCACCUUUUAACAAGAGGUGCACUUUAACACGCGAACCAGUAACCCGAUCUACACGUUUACAAAUCGGCAAUGAAUUAAAACAACAACAAAAAAGCUUCAUGGAAAAAGAAAGAGGACAGACAAGCACCACUGUGGAGGACAAGCACCACUGGGGAGGCAGUUAGAGUCUAGUGGCGGCGGGGGACUUUAGAGUCAGACUGCUGAAAAAUCUUCAUUGCUGAGACAAAGGAAAACCCACUCCCUUGGAGGAGCAUGACCUUUUCCUGUAUUGCUUCCCACUGCUGUUGUUGAGCUCCUUGGACCCUGACUCCUGGACACCAUCAUCAAGAAGACUUUAUGGAUGGGCUAUCCACCCACUGAGAGAAGAGGAGCAUCAGCUACAGUUUCUCUCUAGAUUGCCUUCUUCAUUUUGAGUAAUGACUGUCAGCAGGGUCAGAUUAAAGACAAAACAACUGGACAAUUGCUUGGAGGACUAAACUAUAAGGGCACUAACAUAUCAAUAGUAUGCUAACACAUCCAUGAAAAAUAUAUUUACCAGCCCUUCUCUCAGGGAGGAGUCUGUGUGGGGUUGGAAGGAAUAGUCUGUUAAAUUCCUUAGGGGUAGAAAAUAGGGCAUAAUCAGAAUGUAGAGGAGCAUGCUGUUUGACUUCAGGGUUUCUUUUUUUCUUACUAGGAUAUAUAAAAGAAGGACUCUAGCUAGAUUGUUUAUGACCACAGAGGGUAGGCUGAGUGCUCCCAUGAUCUUCCUGCUUGAUUCUUGCCCCUACAGACCUCAGCCUUUCCUCUAAUAAAGAUUGAACAAGUAGUGGUCUGAGGGAGACACCAAUUCAUUACCCUACAUGUCUCUUUUUUGCACUCUAGGGCUUUGAUAAUAAAGACACUGGCAGACUAUCUAUCUUCCAUUUCUAUAAUGUGAGCCCUUAGGGAGUCUUCGUUCACUUGCGGGUGACAGUCAUUGCUCACAGAGUAGUUCAAGUCAAAUGGAACUUGAACUCUUUGCCUAUGGACCUGGUGGUCAGACUCUGUGUUGAGUUCAUUAGAUUAUUGGAAACACAAGGUAGAGCUGGGCCCUUCAAAAAUAUUUGGCUAAAGGAUGACAUUGCUGGUUAUUUGUAGAUAAAGCCAUCAUGGAACAUGCUUGGAAUUAUGAAAUAUGGAACUGGUGGUCAUGUUUAAUAAUACAACUAAUAGUUAAGUAACUACUGGAUACUGUAGAGACUUAGAAGCAAGACAGACAUGGUUUCUGCCCCCAUGGAGCUUACACUGUAGCUUUCCCUUAGGUAUGAAGAACAGUGGCUACAACUAAUAAAUAGUCAUAAAGAUAUCAUUGAGCCAGUGUUCCAGUUAUUAGAAUAAUUCCUAUUUCCUUAAUCAUGCCUAUUGAUCAUGUUCUAUAAGCCUGCAUUCUAUAAAUGGCCUGUAAGCAUGGGCUGUUUCCCCCCAGCAAGUUGUACAAAGUUCUGUGGUACCAGGCAAAGGGCUUAAGGUUAGCAGGGUCUCUGGGGAAGGACAUAUGAAGUGACUUGGGUCAGGAAACAGGAAGGGAUAGGUUUCAAGAAAAGCUAUAGCUUCUGUUCUAUAUAGGAAACUACAGGAUGAAAAAUGCUGGGCCCCAGCAUUUUUGAGACCUGGGUGUUAGUUUGUGUUCUAAUACUAACAAGCUAUGUGACUGUGGGUAAGUCAUUUCACAUUCCACUUGGAUGCCUCUUGAGUGACUCCAGGCCUCUCCAGCUCUAAAACAUUAAGAUCAGGCCCUAUGCUACAGCUGGCCUUAUGUAAUUCUCCUAUUUCUACACUGUUAGGUCAAAUCAAUCUUCAAUAGUUACUUGAGUGUUAUUACUUUUUUCUGAAGUGGGUGUUUUACCAAUGUUUUAGGAUACAGUGAGUCUGCUUCUUCCCUUUGGAGUUAGGAAGGUUGUAGCAAUAUACACUGUAGAGCUUAUGGAAGCUUUAUUCCUUCCUUUUUUCCCCCUUACCUCUCCCUCUCCUUCCCUUCCUCAAACAUUUCUAUUGAGCAUAUACCAUUGCCAUGUACCAGGUGUGUGCUAGGUUUGGAGAUUCAAGGUAAACCUGAGAGUUUCCCAGACUCCAGGAGACAAAACCCUUAUUUCUUUCAUCUGCUGGCUUUCUCUUUGGAAAGAAUCAACGAUGUCCCAGGGGAGUGUGCCCAUGUCCCAGGGUAACCAACUACAGACAGAUGCCCCAUUCUACUCAAGCAACUUUUAGAGUGCCUUGAGAUACACAUCAGUUAAUUAUUCGGGGCCGGGCAUGAUGCUGUACACCUAUAGUCACAGCACUUUGGGUGGCUGAGGCAGCAGAUUGCUUGAGCUCAGGAAUUCAAGACUAGACUAGAGAACAGGGCAAAACCCCAGCUCUACAAAAACAUACAAAAAUUAGCUGCGUGUGGUGGCCUGUGACUGUAGUACAAGCUACUCAGGAGACUGAGGUGGGAGAAUUGCUUGAGCCUGUGAGGUCGAGACUGCAGUGAGCUGAGAUCAUGCCAUUGCACUCCAGCCUGGGUGACAUAGGGAGACCCUGUCUUAAAAAAAAAAAAAAAAAAAGAUAAUCAUCCAGUCCUAGUGUCAUUGUGAAAAGAUCUGUCUUCAGAUAUAAGGAAGAAACAAUCUUUUAUUUCUUAGGAUAAAUCUGUAGAAGGACCUCCAGACAGUGAAGGCCACUGACUACUUUAUACUCUGUAACCCAUCCCUUCCCUGGUAGGAAGGACUACUUUCUAAACUUACAAAGUACCUCUCAGCAAAUAGACAUUUUUAUAUAUACUGUGAUUCUUACAUCCCUAUGGGUGGUGACUUCUUUAAAAAGGAAAGGAAAAAGCCUAAUCAGACAAAAAGAUGUUGCUAUUAAUUCUUACCCUAUUGUGAAUCCUAUAUAAGCAAAUUUGUAUCUAUGUUUUUUCCAACAUUAGCAGAUCUAUUUGAUGUAUAUCUCUGAGUGUAGAAAAUAUUCUAUGGAAAAAUCAGUCUAUGGAAUUUCAAAUUCGGAAUUGCUGAUACACACUAUUUGGUUUCAGAAUUUUAUCCUAGGACAUAGUAUUAGGGAUUUCAAUUUCUGGCUUAAAUGGUAGAAUUAAUUACUCUUAACUCUUAAUUUUACUUCUGAGUUGAGGUCAAGGAACAGGCAGACACCUCCAGUUAACGUCUAUACCUCUCCAUGGCCAAGAACUUUAAUUUUCUCGUUUUCAGUUUUGUAGAUGUACAUCAUUACUAAAUGGAUUGAUUAGUAUUUUAUCUCCUCUCCUUGUCCUUACUUUCCCUCUGGUAAAUAUGUUAUAAACAGUGUAAGGCUCAUAAGAUAGAAUAGCUGGUAGGACUUAGAAGAGAAACAUAAUUCACAUAAAUGGAAAUAACUCAAAUAACUGGAACUUAGAAGAGAAACUGGACUAAGAAGAGAAACAUAACUCACAUGAAUGGAAAAUUGGCCCUGGAAUAAUUGACAACAUAUUCAAGUAUUUUAGUUCGGUGUCACUCUCAUUAAGAAGAAGAGAAUCAGUAAAUCUAUGUGACUCUAAACAUUUUAAUGAAAAGAGGACUAUUCUGUCAAUCAUCUCACAUUUUAAAAUAUCUGAAUAUUGGCCAUUGUAAAGACAAAACAUACAGAUGAUGGACUUGUCUUUCUACCUCUCAUUUGCAUGGUUUGGAGCAUUGUACCUCCAGCCAUUGACUCUAAGGCAAUUUAUAUUUGCUUCCUCUUCCCUCUUGAGAGAAAACAAAAAUCUUAUUUUUCCAAGCAAUUAAAACUCUUCUGCUUCAGCUAGGAUGAAAGAAUUAGGAGUUAUGUCUCCUUGUAUCUAAUUGCAUGUUUCAUCUUUCUUGUUUUAAUGAUUGACAGAAAACUAAUAAACUGAGACAUCUUUGAAUCAAGGUUGAAUGUACUCUCUUGGUGGCCCCAUUGCUAAUUUGUUUGACUAUUUUUCAGGAUUUCUUACUCUGUAAUGGAAAGGUUUAUUAAAUAUGAGGGGUGCAAAGCUUUCUGAAUACUAAUGAA
Molecule: non-coding RNA, 6235 nt
Organism: Chlorocebus sabaeus (green monkey)
Lineage: Eukaryota; Metazoa; Chordata; Mammalia; Primates; Cercopithecidae
Source: RefSeq, a predicted model, not a curated record